AACGAACGCUGGCGGCAUGCCUAACACAUGCAGGUCGAACGAGACCUUCGGGUCUAGUGGCGCACGGGUGCGUAACGCGUGGGAACCUGCCCUUAGGUUCGGAAUAACUCCCCGAAAGGGGUGCUAAUACCGGAUAAUGUCUUCGGACCAAAGAUUUAUCGCCUUUGGAUGGGCCCGCGUUGGAUUAGCUAGUUGGUAGGGUAAAAGCCUACCAAGGCGACGAUCCAUAGCUGGUCUGAGAGGAUGAUCAGCCACACUGGGACUGAGACACGGCCCAGACUCCUACGGGAGGCAGCAGUGGGGAAUAGUGGACAAUGGGCGAAAGCCUGAUCCAGCAAUGCCGCGUGAGUGAUGAAGGCCUUAGGGUUGUAAAGCUCUUUUACCCGGGAUGAUAAUGACAGUACCGGGAGAAUAAGCUCCGGCUAACUCCGUG
Molecule: ribosomal RNA, 433 nt
Filed under: uncultured bacterium
Lineage: Bacteria
Description: partial 16S ribosomal RNA
Rfam family: Bacterial small subunit ribosomal RNA
Source: RNAcentral